Molecule: non-coding RNA, 72 nt
Organism: Bos taurus (domestic cattle)
Lineage: Eukaryota; Metazoa; Chordata; Mammalia; Artiodactyla; Bovidae
Source: Rfam
UCCCUGGUAGCUCAGAUGGUAAAGAAUCUGCCUGCAAUGCAGGAGACCUGGGUUUGAUGCCUGGUUUGGGAG